AUUGGAAUUUUUGGGUAGUUGAGUUUGAAACCAAUUUGGACGUUUUGGAUUUCUUCUUCACUAAAUGCAAUGCCUUUAAUGGUCCAACCUCUCUCUCUCAAGCCUUUUAAAAAAUAAUAUUUUUCAUGUGUGAAAAAUGAAGCCAAAAAAGUUGUUAGAAAAAAUGUCAAAAGAAAAUCAUUAACUUUCAAAUUUCAGACGAUCGAAUCAUGAAUUACGAGGAACACAAAUAAAUCGUAAAGUAUUGGUUGACUUUAAGUUUAGAUAACAAGUUUGGUUGACCAACUAAUUUAGACAUGACGUUUAGUAUACUAACAGAAAACCUUUAAAGUGUUAAAUUCCCGUUAGUUAUCUAUGUUAUGGCUAAACGGCAUAAGUUUACUGUACACUAAACAACAUCGUUUUGUCAAUUGAAAAGAGACAAAAUCCCCAAAUCAAAACUCUAUUAGCUUUUAGUGAGAUUUCAAAAUAAGAUU
RNAcentral lists this small RNA (476 nucleotides) under Arabidopsis thaliana (thale cress). Its description in RNAcentral is "ATSL295700". The record is from RNAcentral. Lineage: Eukaryota; Viridiplantae; Streptophyta; Magnoliopsida; Brassicales; Brassicaceae.